AUAAAAAAUAAGACACAAAAGCCAAAAAUAUACUGGGGGAAUCAAUUCCUUUCAAAAUAUAGUUAUUUAGUUUCCUUUUGCCUCCACUGAAAUCUCUCUAGGAGAGACCUGAAAGAUGUCCGAUGUGUCUUUGCCUUUUCCCCUUCUUUGCUAAUGCUUCCCUCCUCGAAGACCUUAUCUAGGAGGGGCUCUGGGCUUCUAGGACUAUCUUUCUUCCACUGUGGGAGAGAUUUGCCUAGGAUGAAGUGAAACCACUUUGGCCUUGAUGGAACAGGUAGCAUAGUGUCUGAGAUAAAUGAUUCUGCACCUUCUGAAGACUUUCUCGCACAGCUAUGGGUGCUUGAGGUGCUGAAAAGGGAAGAGACUGUUGCCUCGGGGCAUUUGAAGACAAAUUUUAUAUCAAUCUCCUCCUCACACAUGGGUAUAGGUAUUGGUACAGCAAGCAAUUGAGCUUCACAUGGAUAUUUCAUUCCUUCAUGUGGGCAGCCAUCUGGGAUCCAGGAGGCACAAAUUAAACAGACUAUGUAUUCACAUGAGUUGUAUUCAUCAAGAGGGAGGGGAACAUCCUUACAAAUGUCAUUUUUUAUUCUCUUCUGAGGGAUGGAAUUGAUGAUGGCAUGAGCAGUUUUAUCAGAGAUGGUUCCCCCCUCGAUGGUGUACGGUUUGAUGUAAUUUAAAUGCAAUUUGGUCUGUUUCUUUUGCACAGAAUGGAGCUGAUGUGGGAGCCCAGAUUCAACCUCGUCUUGGUGGUCGGAGCUCAGCUCAGUCUCAGGCUGGUGGUCACGACCUGUUGGAGCCUCAAUCUGGUGGUUGGAACUUGAUGAUGAUAUGGUCUUGUCAGGGCUUGGAGGCAUUUCUUCCUCAUCAUCCACAUUUCCUGGUGAUGUGCUUGAUGCAUGGGUGGAUUCUGUUCCAGAUUCAGUCUCGUUUUCUGAGAUAGAUGAAAUAGUGAUUGAGGGACUAGCACUAGAUGAAGGUGUAUCAUACUCUCGACCCUCAGACAAUUUUGCUGAGUAUUCUAAAUCUCUUGGAGAUGUAGCCUGACUAUUGAGAUCUUCAGCAACUUCUGACUGUCUGUCAGGAGGACUAGGUGGAUGUAUUGUACACUGGUUAGAGCUAAGUAGAGUCAUUUCCUCAUUGUCUAAGUUCAAUGGUGGUAUUAUCCUUUGAUCCUGGUCUACUAAAAUGAUGUUUUGAAGCUCUGUUCCUGAUGACAUUGUGUCACAUGGGCCAGAUCCUGGUUGAAGGGACACCUGAGAGCUUAGAUCUGGUAUAUCUUCAGUCUGCUGGUCAGGACUGAAUGAAGGUAUGAUUUGAGAUUCAAGGACAAGUUGAGCUGGUUCUUUAGGUUUUAUGUCCACUGGAGGCAUUGUUGCCUCAUUAUCCUGGUCGGUUAGAAAUGUGGCCACUAAAUCUGUUCUCAAUGGUGUUAUUUCUCCAGACUCUUGGUCUGUUUGAACUAUUAAAUCUUGGACAGGGUCAUGUGCUGUAUCUUCAGCCUCUUGCUCUUGGUCCAGAGUGAGGAGUGGUGUGGGCUGAUGGUCAGAUGCAGGUACAGCAUUUUCUUGGUCACUGUUGUCUGGGGAAAGAGGUGUUAUUGCCCAAUGAUCCUCAACUAUUUGAUUUGCUUCUUGGACUUCUAUUCUCAGUGGCAUUAUAUCUAUGAUUUCAAUUGUUUCUUUCUCUAUUCCAUCUGAGAUAUGAUCAUCCACAUCACUAAGGACUGGAGUUUUCUCAGAGUGUGACUCUGUGGUAAAUGUUAAUGUGUUGCAGAGAUUUGUUUCCUCUGAUAGUGUUGCCCAUUCUUCUAAUUUUUGUUUAAGUGUAGCCUGGGCAUCAGGAUUUGAAAUAUCCUCAAUCUGGUGCUUAGGGCUAGGUAAAGGUGUUUUUGCCUCAUCAGGGCUAGAAAAUAUUCUCUCCUGGUUAUCCAAAUCCAGUGGAUGAGCAGUUUCAUGUUUCUCAUCUGUUAAUGUUAUUGCCUGGUGAUUGGAUAGUCCAAGUAGCAUUGCUAAUAUUAUUUCCCAGUACAUUUCUUUUAUUGGAACUGAUUCUUUGACAGUGGGUCCUGAUACAUUGCUAGUGUCCAUUUCUAGGCUGGAUGAAAAUAUAUCCAGAUGAUCUAUUUCUUGUGGUGGUGGUUUCCAUCGUUCUAGUUCUUGAUGAAGAGGGACCAGGGCAUUGGAGUCUGGCGUAUGCUCAGCUCCGGACAUAGGACUGGAUGGAGGUGUGGUCCUUUGGUGAGGGCCAGAUAGAGUUAUAUCCUGGGGACUUGAGUCCAGUGGAAUUAUGUUCUCAUCCUGUCCUGUUACAAAGAUUUCCUCCUGGUCUAUCUCUGGGGAUAUUGUUUCCCAAGUGUCUAGUUCUGUUUGUAUGGAGGCAUGGACAGGAGGCUCUAAGGUCUUGUUAGUUUCCAGGUCAGGACUGGAUGGAAGUGUUUCCUGGAGGUCUGUGUCUGGAGAUAUUGUUUCCAAGGUGUCUAGCUCUGUUUGAAUGGAGACAUGAACAGUAGGCUCUGGGGUGAUGUCAGUUUCCACAUCAGGACUGGAUGAAAAUGUUUCCUGGAGGUCUGUCUCUGGGGAUAUUGUUUCCCAGGUGUUUAGCUCUGUUUGGAUGGAGACAUGGACAAUAGGCUCUGAGAUCAUGUCAACAUCCACUUCAGGACAGGAUGGAAGUUUUUCCUGAAGCUCUAAUCUUUGGGAUAUUGUUACCCAAGUGUCUGGUUCUGUUUGGAUGGAGACAUGGACAGUUGGCUCUGAGGUCACGCCAGUUUUCAGGUCAAGAUUAGAUGGAGUUAAGUCCUGGAUAGCUUUUCCUUGAAAAAUUGCUUCAAAAGGCUCUUUGUCAAUUUUCACUAAUGUGGAAGGCUUCUCUUCAGGACUGCAUGGACGCGAAUCCAGGAGGUAUUUUCUCAGAAGCUUAGUUUCCCAGUUGUCUUGUUCUGUUUGAACUGAGACAUGGGCAAGAGAGCAUGGUCCAUGUAGUUGGCGAUUGUUAUACUUGCAUACUGUUGUAGACCUGUUUUUCCGAUUCAGAUGAGAUGUAGGUACAGCUAGGGGUCUAGGACGGUGCUCAAGGUAUUGUAAAAAGGACAUUGCUUCCUUGAGCUGCAAGUCACUAUGUGAUGUCUUCAGAGCUUGGGUCUGGGCCUGGUGGUUUGGAGAUGGUGAUCUGAAAUUUGGGCCCUUGGUCCAGUUAGUAAAAGGUAAUGAUUUUGCAAGUGGAUGGAGUACAGGGUCCAAGUUAAAAAGUCCUAACAGUGCAUUGGUAGCCUUGAUCCGGCGCCUGGGUCUUGGCAAAACUUUGGUCCCCUGAGUGGGGGGUCUUGCCAGAGGACCACUGGUCUUGAUCUGGGUGUCAGGAACUGGAGUAUCCCUGGAUUUGUGGCCCUUAUAUAAUGGAACCUUAGUCUGGUGGUCAGAGAAGGUUGAAAUUGGGUCCUUUGGGUUAAGAAGUGAUAGAUCCUCAAUACUCAAAUGAUCACAAGCUGGGAAAAUCUUGGGAAGAUGGUCAGAACCUGAAGAAUUCUCCAACCGGUGGUCAGAAUCCGAAGGAAAAUCAUACUGGUGUUUGAGACUGAGAGGAGGUAUAAGGCACUGAUCAAUGGGAAUCAAAGACCCAGAAGUUUUUCUGGUUGGGAUAUCAGUCCUAGGUAAAGGCAAGACUGGAGCCACUGUACGGUGCUUGUGACGAGAAGCUGGUUUAGCCAGGUGAUGAAGACGGGGCAAUGGCGCUGCCACUGCUCUAUAAUUAAGGUGGGGCAUCUUGGGAGCAUUGCCUGAAUGUUUGAGCCAAGAUGUAGGCUCUUGUACAUUCUUGUGGUAGUGACGGUGUGAUGAUUGUGAGGUAUUAGAAGUUUGUUGAAGGAGAGACAUCAGUUCAGUCCUUGACUGGUAUUCUUUUUCCCAGAAUGGUGAAAUCCGGUGUGGAUGACAUGGUAACAACACUGAUGAGGUUUGGCGAUACAGACUAUUUUGAGGGAACUGGAUCAGUUCUGCUGCUGAAAAAGAUAUAAUCUACCUCCAAUGAUGGAUCUCCUAGAAUUGUGAGGAAGCUCUAAGUUCAGGUGGACAAAGACAGCUGGGUUGCUUUAUGAUGUCAGAUUCUCCUUUGAUGCUCUGAAGAAUGUGGACUGAAGAAUUAAAGGUUCUGUCCUAUUCUAGGUGUUUGAAGAUGCCAGUCUAGUUUUCUCUUCAUCCCAGGACCCAGUCUUCUCAUAAGAAAGAGUGUAUUAUUUUUCUGAACAGACUUUAUUUUACUAUUUUCUUAUUAAUUUUUAUUUUGGAUCACGGUCCUUAGACCUCCCCUCACCAGAAUCAUGAGCAAAAUUGCCCUGACUGAGAAUGAGCUUUCUAGCUUUUGAAAUAUGUUUGCUGUUCUUCUAGACAUUCUACUGGUAAGAUAUACUGUGGAAAUUCUUCUGUAGUGGAAUGGGGAAAAAUCAAAAGAUAUUUUCCAAAGAAGCUCCUCGCCCAGGCCUUUGUUACAAGGCCAAGGUGGUAUGGUUACCAUGUCCACCACACCACGUUUCACCCCUGUUGGAACAAGACUCCUAUGUGAAGGCAGAGCAGGCAUCCCUCAAGCAUCAGGAGAGAACCAUCCAACCGGUGCCCCAUCCCCGCCCUCGGACCGAGCCAGUGCCCUCGCCACAUUUCAAACACCCCAUGAUAGCCGUCCGGCCACCCUGUCCUCCUCCCAGCACGGUCACAAUACCGCUGCCCCAUCUCCACCACCAAAGUACAGUGAAUAAGGCACCCGCUAGUCCCAAGCACCAAGUGGUCACCUCGGCCCUGCCUGUGAGCAGGCCUGACGUCCCCUCUGCCAAGCCUGCCGUGACUUUAGCAUUCAGCAAACAGUGCCCGCCGCUCCGCCCUAUACAUCAGCCUGUGAUUCCACUGGAUGCAAACCAACACACAGAAGCUGCUCCUAACCCUGACCACUUCCCCAAGAUUAUCCCAAGCUCUGUCCCCCUGGCUGAGGAUCCGAGUCAUCUCAAACAUCUGUCGGCGCUGCCAUCAUCUGCUGAGGUGCCACCACGAGAGGUCCACAGGACCAUGUUCAUAGCGGUUCCCCAAGCGGGCCCUAACCACCCCAUCAGGGUCACGAGUGUGCCCGUGAAUCCCGGCCCACAGCCUUUGCCCAAGCCCAGGCGUCGCAUCAGGGCCACAAACGCGCUCUUAGGGUUUUUAAAACUAGAACCUAUGCUUCAUUCUGCUAGCUCAAUAUCCCUUGGUCCAAACCACUGGUCCAGAGAGACAACUGCAAAACCCUCGGGUCUGGAUAAUUGGACCCAACCAAAAAGAUCUUCAUCUUCACAUCCCAACCUCCUUUGCCCUUGGAAGACAGUAUCACUGCUGUACUGCAAUGAGUCCCCCCAAAAAUCAAUGGGGGAGCCGUUAUCACAUCUGAAUCAGAAAACCAGGGCUACCACUGCACCUGCUCCUGUUCAGCUACAGCAGGCUGGGGACAUGGCUGGCCCUAUGGCCCAUGGAUUACUUCAAAUGGAAAAAAAGCCCUGGGAAACAAGUUCAGUGAGAGCCAGCCAGGAUCCAGGGCUGAGACAACUUCCAAUUGACUUACAUUUCCAGGGCAAAACUCUGCAUGUCCCUAACCACCAGGUGGUACCUCCUCCCCAUCCAGUGGGUCCUUUACAACCUAUGGCCCAGGUCCCACUUCAAAUGGAACAAGAUCAUAGGAAGACGAUGCCAUUGAGACCGGAUAACCAGGUUCCCAAUCCCACAGGACAGGAUCACUGGACCAUCCCUCCUUUCCUGGGCAUGGAUGGCCAGAAAACAAUUCUUUUUCUCCCUCAGUACCAGGCCACACCACCUCCCAGCCCUAUCCAUCAGUCGGAGGACAUCCCAGGCUCCAUUGCUUAUACCUUGAAAACGCUGCCACCCAGAAUGCAGCCACAGGCCACAACUAUAACAGGUGCUAGUCAGAAUCUCAGAACAGUACCUUCAAUGGUGUCUUACAAGCACGACAUCAAUCAGCUGGGCGCCGUACCCCAAUUCACAACUUCCCUCAACCCUGACUACCAGGUUGGGAAAGUCAUAAAUCCCAAUGCCCAGCUGAUAUACCAACCAAAUGUAGAAGUAUGGGGAACAAUGACAAAGGGAAUGUAUCACCAGGAUAUGAGUCCCUUUGUGUGGGGUUACGGGGCAAUCCCUCAACCCCAGAACACAAAUAAGACGAUUCCACCUCACUUGGACCACUGGGGCACACCUCUCCAACCUGAAUUUCAGACUAAGACUAUACCUGACCCAAAUGUUCGGUUUACACUUCAAUCAGAACCCAAGCAUCACGGAAGAAGGCAACUAGGAGUAGACCACCAGCCUGCCUUUCUAGCAUGCCGAAAUCAAGGACCAAUUAUGUAUCCCCCAGGUGUAGGUGGCUGGGAAAAAAUUCCACCUGGCCCUAACUAUCAGGAGACGGUGGUCAGCGCUCAUCCUGGGCCUAAGCAACAGCCAGCUAUGGCUAUACCAGAUCCUGCUGCACAAAUCUUGUUUCAGCCUGAACAAGGGCACAGGGGACCAACAAUGCCAAAAAUAAAGAUCCAGACCCCAGAUCUUAAUUUAGUAUCUUCACUGGGCUUAGAUACCCAAAACCCAAAUCUUUGUGUCUCUGAACACCAAGCCAGGCUUGUAGUCAAUAAUCCUCACCAGCCUAAGGAGAUGAUGAAGGAUGCCAAGGUCCAGGUCUCCUUUCAAGAAUUCAAACGAUGUGAAAUACCACCAGUGGGAACCCACCAGCAGACCCCAAAUCCCCCUGAUCACGUCCAUGGGACAACAGUUCCUCUGAACAAUGAUGAGAAGGUAGCGUGUUUUCCUGCCUCUGACCAUUGCAUCCUAUCACCACCUGGCCCUGCCUAUCAGGCUGAGGCUGUUCCAGAGCCUAAUGACCAGGAUGCAUGGCAACAAAAGCUAGAACACAAUGAAACAAUACAGUCAGCAAUGGAGCAGGAAGCCAAGAAUUCCACUGGCAAAGACCAUGGAGCAACACUUGCUCCCUUGAACAAAGAUCAACAAGAAACUAACUGUGAGCUUGAUCACCAGGACACAUCUCGUCUUAAAUCAGACUGUCAAACUGAGGAUACACAAGACCCUAGAGACCAGGAUUCAAUUCAACCAGAACAACACUGGCAAAAAGAACAACCUGGAACAGAUCAGCAGAUCACAAAUCCUCCUGCCCAAGAUUCCACAGAAAAAACUCUGAUUAGGAGCACAGAGAACCAGGAAACAAUUCUCUCAGGCACUGGCCACCCUAGUCCUGACUUUAGGGCUAUAGAUUCAGCAAGCCCUGGCACUAGGGAAUCAGGUAAAACAGAACAGGAAAACAAGGAAAGACCACCACUUGGAAGGGAAUGCAAAGCCACAACUCUUCUAACCCCCGAUUUGGAGGCAACGGUACCUCCCCUGGGCUCUGACGCCCAGGAUAAAACUCUGCUUGACCCUGAAAACCAUGGCUCCCUUGCACCCAGAGCUGAGCCGGAUGUGGAUGCAUCAGGGCCUGUCGCAUCAGAACAAGUUCUCCGGGAAACACUGAAAACAGAUCCACAGGCCACAGGUACAACCAUCUGUGAUCACCAGAUAACACCACCUAUAGUGGGAGCCGACUGUCAGGCCCCCUGUCCUCCCACCACUGGAGCUCACAACCCAAUUCAGAAAGAACUGGAAGAGUGGGAAAGGUCAGAAGAAAUCAGUUCCCAGGAUUCUAUCCUUUUAGAAGUGGGUGUCAUGCAUAUACCUAAAUUAGACUUAGAUCUCCAAGACACAACUCCAUGUCCCCCCGUCUAUGGUCCUGAUGAUCAGGCUACAGAUAGAAUAGAUCCCAUUGCCCCAACAUGGGUUCAGACAGAACAGAAGUCCAGAGAAGUAUCAUCAAUAGCAAUAGAUCAGCAGGCCACGACAGUAACAGGCCAGACUCAGGAGGCAGUCACAUGCCCCCCAGACUUGGAAUCCCAGGACACAGCUCAAUGUGGUCCUAAAUGCCAGAGCCCACUUCCGUGCAGCCUUGACAAGCGGGAGAAGAAUAUAGCCUCUCCCAAUGACUUGUUCUCACUUCAGCCCCCAACCAAUCAAUGCACAGUAGUGUCCCAGGAAACAGACCAGCAGACCACAAUUCUAAUGGACUUGGGAUUCAGGACAUCACCUCCGUUGCUGAUACACCCCCAGGACCCAAUUCUGCUUGAUUCUACCUACCAGACCACACCUUCCUCUGGCCCUGCAGAAGCUUUCUCAGAUCCUGAUCUUCAGAACAUACCUCCACCAGAUCCUGAGUGCUUAGCACAAUGGUCCCCGAGGCAAGAGCGCCAAGUCUCACCCCUAUCCAGUGUUGACCACCAAGUCACCCUUCUGCCCAAUUCAACAAACCAGGCUGAGGCUAUAUUUGAGUCUGUCAAACCCCAGGUCACAAUGUCAACACAGUUAUGUAAUCAGGAUAAAGCUUUAAUAAGCUUCAUUAAACCCAAGACUGUGCUGCCCUCAGGUCCCGGGCUGCUGACUAAACGUCUAAGGGGUCGUGGCCCUCAGGUUGAAAAAUUUGACCCCCAAGUUCAGAUUCACUCAAGACCACAAUACCAGACUCAACCAGUGCUAAACAAAAAGUCUUCUUGUUUAUAUUAUAUCAAGCCAUACACUGUGGAGGGAGGAAUCAUCCCCAACAGAAUAGUUCAGCUCAUCAUCGAUUCUAUCCCUCAGGAAAAAAUAAAAAAUGAUGUCUAUAAACAAAUUCUCCUGCGAAAGAGGAGGAAAUUUUCUCCUCAUGGUUCUAAUGGAUACAGUUCAUCUUACUAUCCUAUCUGUUUGCUUUGUGCCUCCUGGAUUCCAAAUGGCUGUCCCCAUGAGGGAAUGAAAUACCCAUUUGAAGCACAGUUACUGGCCAUACCUACGCCUAUGCCUGGUUUUGAAGAACUCGGGGUGAGAUUUGUGCUCCAAGUGCCCCAGACAACAGAAAGCUCCCCUCUCGAGUUUCCUUAUUCCCGGCAUGGUCUGCAAAGGCACCCUCAUGGCCCACAAAUCUUUUCAACAUCAUCCUACUCUGAUCCUGGGCUCUCUAGAUCUUCCAGACCAAAGUGGCUACACUUCAUUCUUGACAAGGCUCAUCAGCAAGAGGGGAGAAACCAAGAAGCAGAAUUCAUAGGAGAAAUGCCCUUGAAGAGGCACAGCCUCAGAGAAGAGGACACUGGGGAUGGGAGGACAUUUUUUAAAUCUCUGUUGGAAAGAUUUCAGUGGAGGCUGAGAGAUUAAAUUACUAUAUAUUCUAUUUGGAAAGAAUUUAUAUGUUUGAAAUAUGUCUUGAUUUCAUAUCUUGCACAUGUAAUUUUCU
RNAcentral lists this long non-coding RNA (9324 nucleotides) under Sarcophilus harrisii (Tasmanian devil). RNAcentral describes it as "lncRNA (ENSSHAG00000021395.1)". Lineage: Eukaryota; Metazoa; Chordata; Mammalia; Dasyuromorphia; Dasyuridae. The record is from RNAcentral.